This 65-nucleotide transfer RNA is filed under the name Coemansia erecta. RNAcentral describes it as "tRNA-Ser". It matches the Rfam family "tRNA", at positions 8 to 61 of the family's 71-position model. From Rfam's summary of the family: Transfer RNA (tRNA) molecules are approximately 80 nucleotides in length. Their secondary structure includes four short double-helical elements and three loops (D, anti-codon, and T loops). Further hydrogen bonds mediate the characteristic L-shaped molecular structure. tRNAs have two regions of fundamental functional importance: the anti-codon, which is responsible for specific mRNA codon recognition, and the 3' end, to which the tRNAs corresponding amino acid is attached (by aminoacyl-tRNA synthetases). tRNAs cope with the degeneracy of the genetic code in two manners: having more than one tRNA (with a specific anti-codon) for a particular amino acid; and 'wobble' base-pairing, i.e. permitting non-standard base-pairing at the 3rd anti-codon position. The record is from RNAcentral. Lineage: Eukaryota; Fungi; Kickxellomycota; Kickxellomycetes; Kickxellales; Kickxellaceae.
UGGCCGAGUGGUUAAGGCGACAGACUCGAAAUCUGUUGGGAUUUUCCCGCACAGGUUCAAAUCCU